UAUCUAAAACAAUGGUUAUUAAAAAUGAUCAUUUAUCAACUAAUUUGCGUACUAGUAUAUAUCAGGUAGAUAAUAGAAAAAUAAAAAAUCAACGAGGUAAAUAAUGAGAAGCAUCGUUUCGAAAAAACGGGGCAAAGUUUUUCUGCUUACGAAUGGUUAAAAAAAAAAAAUGAAAAAAAAGGAAGAAAAGAUAAGAGAUAAAAAGGAAGAUAAAAAAUUUACCGUAGAUAUCCGCCAGUUGGAAGUUGGAAUGGCGUAAAGAUGAAGCUUUCCGGAUGCGCGUUCAUCGGAAAAAGGAGAGAAAUCUCGAUUUAUACGUGGAACGAAUGUUCGUAAAAAGAAAUCGGAUAAAAAGUUAAAAGCUGUUCGAAACUGAUGACCAAGCGAGCGAAUAGAAAUAAAAAAACAAAA
Molecule: long non-coding RNA, 411 nt
Filed under: Polistes fuscatus (common paper wasp)
Lineage: Eukaryota; Metazoa; Arthropoda; Insecta; Hymenoptera; Vespidae
Description: uncharacterized LOC122515869
Source: RNAcentral